RNAcentral lists this small RNA (1277 nucleotides) under Histoplasma capsulatum. Its description in RNAcentral is "hypothetical RNA". Lineage: Eukaryota; Fungi; Ascomycota; Eurotiomycetes; Onygenales; Ajellomycetaceae. RNAcentral also lists the same sequence under 1 other name. The record is from RNAcentral.
AUGCACUUCUUUACGCAGUCGAUCUGAUCCAACUUGCUAGAAACCUCAUCUGGAUGGAUGCCUUGUAGCAUGACCUCCAUUUUCUCAGCGAUUCUGAUCGAGUAUUUACUGAACCCUAUGCCAAUAAACUCUAUCACCUUCAGCGAUGAGAGCAUUGGAAAAAGCAACAUUGGUUAUUCUGCAUAAUAUCCACCCAGCUUUAAUUGAGCAUAGCAAUCCUGAUCAAAGAAUAUUUGAUUGUUCCAGGUAAUUCUGAAAGGGUUAUUUGGGUAGCUUUUGAUGUUGCAAUUAUUUAUCCUAGCCAAGCCCACAUUGGGGUGAGUGAAUGGGGCCGGAUUGAAAGCUUUGGGGUGACGCUCGACAAAAAUCGAAAAGAUUGACUUGCCGCCAAAUAUUAAAUGGACACCAUGGAAGCCGCCGAUCAUUAUCCGCUGCGCACAGCAUUCCAAGAUACCACAGUCCUGGAAGGACAGCCAUCUGUCCAGGACCUCUCAUUUUCCAUGCUAUAAGCUGGGCAAGCCGGCGUCUUCCAUUUCCAUCAAGUUGUUUAAUAGGUACUAGUACCGAUUUUGCAUCUGUCAAGAAAUAACCAUAUCGAGCAUUUCUUCCGUUUCCUAUAAAAUUAACCCGGGAGAAAACCUGGUAAUAUUCCCUGCGAUCUCCCUCUGUUGCAGUUCUGUUUUCCAUGACACUUUUAGAUCUCCCAAGGCAACAGCUUGGUGAGAUACCCAUUGCAAUGCCAGCCUGGAAGAAAGCAAUGUCUGGUUGAAGAUUAGGAGUGAUGACUUCUGCAUCACUCAUAUCAACGGUCAUAGGAGCGAGCUAGAGGUUAGUGAGAUGAUGUGCAAGCUACAGAAAAGCUGCUCACAGGGAACAGCACAAUUGCUUUUUGGAUAUACGUGAUGAAACAGGCGGCGUAAAUUGGUUGUGUUUUUAUAGCUUGUGUUGGGCUAAUAGGCAUUGAUUCGUUCGCAACGUGGAUUUGCUGAAGCAGAUUUCCACGGCGUUGGAGAAUAUAAGCAUGUAUUGAGACGUUUUGUUCAUGUUCUCCGUAUUUAUGCAGGAGCAGUCUUUCAAAGUGGAGAAUGAAGCGGUCUAGGUGUCAGGCUGUACCUCCUCCCUCGUGGAACCAGCCAGUGUCUGUGAACCCGGCCAAAGUUAGGUAGCGGGUUGAGGAUGGCAAUUUUGUCAACCAGGUCUGGGGGGCUGGAGAUAUGAAAGUGCCUUACCAAAUCUACCAUCAAAAAGACCUCUCAUUAACUAAGACAUUAUUGCAG